This 254-nucleotide ribosomal RNA is filed under the name uncultured bacterium. Its description in RNAcentral is "partial 16S ribosomal RNA". It matches the Rfam family "Bacterial small subunit ribosomal RNA", at positions 524 to 776 of the family's 1533-position model. The record is from RNAcentral.
AACGUAGGAGGCAAGCGUUAUCCGGAGUUACUGGGCGUAAAGCGCGUGUAGGCGGUUGAGCAGGUCCGAUGUGAAAGCUCCCAGGCUAAACCGGGAGAGGUCAUUGGAAACCGCUCGGCUAGAGUGUGGUAGAGGGAUGUGGAAUUCCGGGUGUAGUGGUGAAAUGCGUAGAUAUCCGGAGGAACACCAGUGGCGAAGGCGGCAUCCUGGACCACAACUGACGCUGAGACGCGAAAGCAUGGGGAGCGAACGGG